This is an RNA transcript of Canis lupus familiaris (dog), 1544 nucleotides long. It is a transcript of the gene named phospholipase A and acyltransferase 5, with no coding region annotated. NCBI's taxonomy places the organism in Eukaryota, Metazoa, Chordata, Mammalia, Carnivora, Canidae. The transcript is spliced from 9 exons. The record is from RefSeq and is a predicted model, not a curated record.
GCCCACGGGGUCCGGCCCGGCGCGGAGCCGCAGAGCGGGAUGGGCCUGAGCCCCGCCGCCGGCGCAGAGAGCAGGCCGCGCCCCUCCGGCUUCCCCCGGCCACGCCCCAAACUCGCCCCGCGAGCCGCAGAAGAAUCAUCUCAAGCGUUGGUCCAGCUCCCUCCCAAGGAGCUGCAAGAGGGAACCUCAGAACUGAGCAGAAGCAACCAGGAUGGGGAGAAGCCCACAGUUAACUUGGAGGCCACAGCCAAUCAGAAAAAAACAGAGUCAAACUCAACCCCAAAGCCUGAGAGUGGAGGGAAAUUAACCAAGCAAGCUGCUGAGGGCAAACCAAGACCCAGACCUGGAGACCUGAUUGAGAUUUUUCGAAUUGGCUAUGAGCACUGGGCCAUCUAUGUGGAAGAUGACUGCGUGGUCCAUCUGGCUCCCCCGAGUAAGGGUGAGGAGUUUGAGGCCGGCAGCAUCACUUCUGUCUUCAGCAACCGGGCUGUCGUGAAAUACAGUCGGCUGGAGGAUGUGCUGCAUGGCUGCUCCUGGAAGAUCAACAACAAGCUGGAUGGGACGUACCUGCCCCUGCCUGUGGACAAGAUUAUCCAGCGGACCAAAAAGAUGAUCAACAAGAUAGUACAGUACAGCCUGAUUGAAGGGAACUGUGAACACUUUGUCAAUGACCUCAGAUACGGUGUGGCCAGGAGCCAGCAGGUAGAGCACGCCCUGAUGGAAGGAGCUAAGGCUGCAGGAGCAGUCAUCUCAGCCGUAGUGGAGAGCAUAAGGCCCAAGCCUGUAACUGCCUGAAGGUGCUGGGAACUCCAAGCAGAGGAAGGACUCCUGCCAUUAGCAUGGACAACAUGCCUCCUUGCCUCCCCCUGCCUUCUCUCGCCAUAACCCUACUCAAGAGAAUUACUCUGGAGUGUGUCUUCUACCAGCCCUUCGCAAUGGCCUCUCUGGUUUGUGUGGCUGUUCUGGGUGUUGAUUGCAAAUCCGAGAAACCACCAAGGAGCUGACACUGAUGCAAACACACGAGGGUUUAUUAGCAAGCUCGAGCUUGGGUCCAAGUUCACCCGACACAGCGGCGCAGGGACUUGGACCCCGAGAUAGAUUGCUUAAAGUUGGACUCCAAAGUUAAAGCAUAUCUGAGUUUGCAGCAGUGUGGAGGAUGCUUUAUAAAUGAAUACAUGUGGAUACUUCUGCUUCAAAAGAAAAACUUUUGGAAAAAUCACCUGAGGCCACAAUACCCUGGUCUUUUCAUUUUGAUGAAAGAUGGCUUCCUUCACCUUCUCCUGAACCCACGAGUAGAAUGGGCAGUGAGAACUCCUGAGUUGGAAAGACAAGGCUACUGUAGCUUCUGUUGAUUAUCCAGAGCCGUGGCUUUCAUGUCACAGCAGCGGAACCCACUCUCCAGGCAUAACGUCAUUGAGCCAUUAGAUGUAUAUGGAGCAGCUAUGAGCGAAGUGGGGCCCAGAGCUUGGUGCAGGUAGCUGCAGGGGUGGAGGUGGAGGGCGAUGUCUUUUGGGCUGGAAGCUUCUCAGAUGUGCUCUGCCAAC